RNAcentral lists this ribosomal RNA (563 nucleotides) under Bifidobacterium sp. HGA0038. RNAcentral describes it as "bacterial SSU rRNA". It matches the Rfam family "Bacterial small subunit ribosomal RNA", at positions 76 to 655 of the family's 1533-position model. Lineage: Bacteria; Bacillati; Actinomycetota; Actinomycetes; Bifidobacteriales; Bifidobacteriaceae. The record is from RNAcentral.
CUUUGCUUGGUGGUGAGAGUGGCGCAUGGGUGAGUAAUGCGUGACCGACCUGCCCCAUACACCGGAAUAGCUCCUGGAAACGGGUGGUAAUGCCGGAUGCUCCAGUUGAUCGCAUGGUCUUCUGGGAAAGCUUUCGCGGUAUGGGAUGGGGUCGCGUCCUAUCAGCUUGACGGCGGGGUAACGGCCCACCGUGGCUUCGACGGGUAGCCGGCCUGAGAGGGCGACCGGCCACAUUGGGACUGAGAUACGGCCCAGACUCCUACGGGAGGCAGCAGUGGGGAAUAUUGCACAAUGGGCGCAAGCCUGAUGCAGCGACGCCGCGUGAGGGAUGGAGGCCUUCGGGUUGUAAACCUCUUUUAUCGGGGAGCAAGCGAGAGUGAGUUUACCCGUUGAAUAAGCACCGGCUAACUACGUGCCAGCAGCCGCGGUAAUACGUAGGGUGCAAGCGUUAUCCGGAAUUAUUGGGCGUAAAGGGCUCGUAGGCGGUUCGUCGCGUCCGGUGUGAAAGUCCAUCGCUUAACGGUGGAUCCGCGCCGGGUACGGGCGGGCUUGAGUGCGGUAGG